RNAcentral lists this unclassified non-coding RNA (253 nucleotides) under uncultured Bacillaceae bacterium. RNAcentral describes it as "contains 16S-23S intergenic spacer region". It matches the Rfam family "Bacterial small subunit ribosomal RNA", at positions 524 to 776 of the family's 1533-position model. Lineage: Bacteria; Bacillati; Bacillota; Bacilli; Caryophanales; Bacillaceae. The record is from RNAcentral.
UACGUAGGGGGCAAGCGUUGUCCGGAAUUAUUGGGCGUAAAGCGCGCGCAGGCGGUUCCUUAAGUCUGAUGUGAAAGGCCACAGCUCAACUGUGGAGGGCCAUUGGAAACUGGGGAACUUGAGGACAGAAGAGGAGAGCGGAAUUCCACGUGUAGCGGUGAAAUGCGUAGAUAUGUGGAGGAACACCAGUGGCGAAGGCGGCUCUCUGGUCUGUAACUGACGCUGAGGCGCGAAAGCAUGGGUAGCGAACAGG